UACGAAGGGGGCUAGCGUUGCUCGGAAUCACUGGGCGUAAAGGGUGCGUAGGCGGGUCUUUAAGUCAGGGGUGAAAUCCUGGAGCUCAACUCCAGAACUGCCUUUGAUACUGAGGAUCUUGAGGCCGGGAGGGGGUAGCGGAAUUCCCAGUGUAGCGGUGAAAUGCGUAGAUAUUGGCAAGAACACCAGUGGCGAAGGCGGCUCACUGGCCCGGUACUGACGCUGAGGUGCGAAAGCGUGGGGAGCAAACAGG
RNAcentral lists this ribosomal RNA (253 nucleotides) under uncultured bacterium. Its description in RNAcentral is "partial 16S ribosomal RNA". It matches the Rfam family "Bacterial small subunit ribosomal RNA", at positions 524 to 776 of the family's 1533-position model. The record is from RNAcentral.